This 441-nucleotide ribosomal RNA is filed under the name uncultured bacterium. RNAcentral's name for it is "partial 16S ribosomal RNA". It matches the Rfam family "Bacterial small subunit ribosomal RNA", at positions 338 to 795 of the family's 1533-position model. The record is from RNAcentral.
CCUACGGGGGGCUGCAGUGGGGGAUAUUGCACAAUGGGGGGAACCCUGAUGCAGCGACGCCGCGUGGGUGAAGGAGUGCUUCGGCAUGUAAAGCCCUAUCGGCAGGGAAGAAGCAAGACGGUACCUGACUAAGAAGCCCCGGCUAACUACGUGCCAGCAGCCGCGGUAAUACGUAGGGGGCGAGCGUUAUCCGGAUUCACUGGGUGUAAAGGGAGCGUAGACGGCCAUGCAAGCCAGGGGUGAAAGCCCGGGGCCCAACCCCGGGACUGCCCUUGGGACUGUGUUGCUGGAGUGCAGGAGGGGUAAGCGGAAUUCCUAGUGUAGCGGUGAAAUGCGUAGAUAUUAGGAGGAACACCGGUGGCGAAGGCGGCUUACUGGACUGUAACUGACGUUGAGGCUCGAAGGCGUGGGGAGCAAACAGGAUUAGAUACCCGAGUAGUC